UAGGGAAUCUUCGGCAAUGGACGAAAGUCUGACCGAGCAACGCCGCGUGAGUGAAGAAGGUCUUCGGAUCGUAAAACUCUGUUGUUAGAGAAGAACAAGGACGUUAGUAACUGAACGUCCCCUGCCGGUAUCUAACCAGAAAGCCACGGCUAACUACGUGCCAGCAGCCGCGGUAAUACGUAGGUGGCAAGCGUUGUCCGGAUUUAUUGGGCGUAAAGCGAGCGCAGGCGGUUUGUUAAGUCAGAUGUGAAAGCCCCCGGCUCAACCGGGGAGGGGCAUUGGAAACUGGGAGGCUUGAGUGCAGAAGAGGUGAGUGGAAUUCCAUGUGUAGCGGUGAAAUGCGUAGAUAUAUGGAGGAACACCAGUGGCGAAGGCGGCUCUCUGGUCUGUAACUGACGCUGAGGCGCGAAAGCGUGGGGAGCAAACAGG
This 429-nucleotide ribosomal RNA is filed under the name Gemmatimonadota bacterium. RNAcentral's name for it is "Gemmatimonadetes bacterium partial 16S ribosomal RNA". It matches the Rfam family "Bacterial small subunit ribosomal RNA", at positions 355 to 776 of the family's 1533-position model. Lineage: Bacteria; Pseudomonadati; Gemmatimonadota. The record is from RNAcentral.